Molecule: ribosomal RNA, 231 nt
Filed under: uncultured bacterium
Lineage: Bacteria
Description: partial 16S ribosomal RNA
Rfam family: Bacterial small subunit ribosomal RNA
Source: RNAcentral
GGACGGGUGAGUAAUGUCUGGGAAACUGCCUGAUGGAGGGGGGUAACUACUGGAAACGGUAGCUAAUACCGCAUAACGUCGCAAGACCAAAGAGGGGGACCUUAGGGCCUCUUGCCAUCGGAUGUGCCCAGAUGGGAUUAGCUAGUAGGUGGGGUAACGGCUCACCUAGGCGACGAUCCCUAGCUGGUCUGAGAGGAUGACCAGCCACACUGGAACUGAGACACGGUCCAG